AUUGAACGCUGGCGGCAUGCUCUACACAUGCAAGUCGAACGGUAACAGGCCGCAAGGUGCUGACGAGUGGCGAACGGGUGAGUAAUGCAUCGGAACGUGCCCAGUCGUGGGGGAUAACUACUCGAAAGAGUAGCUAAUACCGCAUACGAUCUAUGGAUGAAAGCGGGGGACCGUAAGGCCUCGCGCGAUUGGAGCGGCCGAUGUCAGAUUAGGUAGUUGGUGGGGUAAAGGCUCACCAAGCCAACGAUCUGUAGCUGGUCUGAGAGGACGACCAGCCACACUGGGACUGAGACACGGCCCAGACCCCUACGGGAGGCAGCAGUGGGGAAUUUUGGACAAUGGGCGCAAGCCUGAUCCAGCAAUGCCGCGUGCAGGAAGAAGGCCUUCGGGUUGUAAACUGCUUUUGUACGGAACGAAACGGCUCUGGUUAAUACCCGGGGCUAAUGACGGUACCGUAAGAAUAAGCACCGGCUAACUACGUG
This 482-nucleotide ribosomal RNA is filed under the name uncultured bacterium. RNAcentral's name for it is "partial 16S ribosomal RNA". It matches the Rfam family "Bacterial small subunit ribosomal RNA", at positions 30 to 507 of the family's 1533-position model. The record is from RNAcentral.